RNAcentral lists this ribosomal RNA (157 nucleotides) under uncultured Acaulospora. RNAcentral's name for it is "5.8S ribosomal RNA". It matches the Rfam family "5.8S ribosomal RNA". From Rfam's summary of the family: 5.8S ribosomal RNA (5.8S rRNA) is a component of the large subunit of the eukaryotic ribosome. It is transcribed by RNA polymerase I as part of the 45S precursor that also contains 18S and 28S rRNA. The record is from RNAcentral. Lineage: Eukaryota; Fungi; Glomeromycota; Glomeromycetes; Diversisporales; Acaulosporaceae.
CAACUUUCAACAACGGAUCUCUUGGCUCUUGCAUCGAUGAAGAACGCAGCGAAAUGCGAUAAGUAAUGUGAAUUGCAGAAUUCCGUGAAUCAUCAAAUCUUUGAACGCAAAUUGCACUCUUUGGUAUUCCAAAGAGUAUACUUGCUUGAGGGUUGUU